CCUACGGGAGGCAGCAGUGGGGAAUAUUGCACAAUGGGGGAAACCCUGAUGCAGCGACGCCGCGUGAGUGAAGAAGUAAUUCGUUAUGUAAAGCUCUAUCAGCAGGGAAGAAAAUGACGGUACCUGAGUAAGAAGCCCCGGCUAACUACGUGCCAGCAGCCGCGGUAAUACGUAGGGGGCAAGCGUUAUCCGGAUUUACUGGGUGUAAAGGGAGCGUAGACGGCAGUGCAAGUCUGGAGUGAAAGGCGGGGGCUCAACCCCCGGACUGCUCUGGAAACUGUACGGCUGGAGUGCAGGAGAGGUAAGUGGAAUUCCUAGUGUAGCGGUGAAAUGCGGAGAUAUUAGGAGGAACACCAGUGGCGAAGGCGGCUUACUGGACUGUAACUGACGUUGAGGCUCGAAAGCGUGGGGAGCAAACAGGAUUAGAUACCCCGGUAGUC
RNAcentral lists this ribosomal RNA (440 nucleotides) under uncultured bacterium. RNAcentral describes it as "partial 16S ribosomal RNA". It matches the Rfam family "Bacterial small subunit ribosomal RNA", at positions 338 to 795 of the family's 1533-position model. The record is from RNAcentral.